UCUAUAAAUAGAGAAUCUGUCCCCGUGACAUUUUGGCAGCUGCUUCUCUCCCCCCACCCCUCGUAACCUUCAGCUUCUGAGGCUAAGCGGGGGGUCGGAAAGGGUUUGAGAGUCGAGUGCUGAUUUUGCCUGCUCUUCCAGGAAGCCUUCCCAGACAUUCAGCUGUAAAAGUAAAGGGCCAAACCACUAAAAAUUGAUAUCUUGCGUCCCUAUGGGCAAGGGCACGGGGUAGAUAUUGAGUGGCAGUGAGUGAGCUGUUGAAAUGAACAGAACAGACGAGAAGAUGAUCCACGUUUUGGAUUAGAGAGGAACUGCAAGGGAAAACCAAAUCCUUCAAAUUUAUACUCAGCGUCUGAGAAAAGGAACACGGGUUCGAGCCCUGGUCUGGGAAGAUCCCACAUGCUGCGAAGCAGUUAAGCCCAUGCGCCACAACUACUGAAGCCCACGCGCCUAGCGCCCGUGCUCCGCAACAAGAGAAGCCACUGCAGUGAGAAGCCCGUGCACCGCAACGGAGAGUAGCCCGCAAGAAGCAAGCCACUAAGAAGCAACGAAGACCCAACGCAGCCAUGAAUAAAUAAAUCAAAUAAAUCAAUUUAAAAAUCAUUGCUGGGCACCAAGGGAGGGUAAGGGGUUGGGGGGACUGUGAGAUACUUAAGGGGGUGGGGUGGCCCCUGUAUCUACAAAGCCGGGGCUAGCACGUCCAUUAAUGAGAACGGUCAUUUCCCUCUGUGGGUUG
Molecule: long non-coding RNA, 736 nt
Organism: Orcinus orca (killer whale)
Lineage: Eukaryota; Metazoa; Chordata; Mammalia; Artiodactyla; Delphinidae
Exons: 3
Source: RefSeq, a predicted model, not a curated record